RNAcentral lists this long non-coding RNA (462 nucleotides) under Fragaria vesca (wild strawberry). Its description in RNAcentral is "long non-coding RNA (FVES_LNC002110)". The record is from RNAcentral. Lineage: Eukaryota; Viridiplantae; Streptophyta; Magnoliopsida; Rosales; Rosaceae.
AGAUGUCCAUUAAAGGAGUGGAUAAGUUCGCAGACGAUGUGAUUCGGACAAGGAAGAAAGAACUACUCAUGGAAUCACAUACUAGUUCCGUUGGUCAUCAAAAGCAAAGAUCGGACCUGUUGACGGUGUUUAUGAGGUUGAGAGAUGAGAAGGGUGAAGGGUUCACUGACAAGUUCUUGAGGGACAUAUGCGUCAACUUUAUACUGGCAGGGAGAGAUACUUCCUCAGUGGCACUCAGCUGGUUCUUCUGGCUGCUUCAUAUCCAUCCCGAGGUGGAACGCAAUAUUCUUCAAGAACUACGCACCAUAGUAGAAGCAAGAUCAACUAAUGAUAUUAAUGAAACCGAACUGGUUUUCUCGCCGGAAGAGAUGAAGAAGAUGGAUUAUCUUCAUGCUGCACUAUCAGAAGCUCUGAGGUUGUACCCUUCAGUUCCACUGGAUCACAAGGAGGUAAUUAAUUUCG